Molecule: ribosomal RNA, 404 nt
Filed under: Fusobacteriota bacterium
Lineage: Bacteria; Fusobacteriati; Fusobacteriota
Description: Fusobacteria bacterium partial 16S ribosomal RNA
Rfam family: Bacterial small subunit ribosomal RNA
Source: RNAcentral
UGGGGAAUAUUGCACAAUGGAGGGAACUCUGAUGCAGCGACGCCGCGUGAGUGAUGAAGGAAUUCGUUUCGUAAAACUCUGUUCUAUGGGAAGAAAAGGACUGUACCAUAGGAGAAAGCUCCGGCUAAAUACGUGCCAGCAGCCGCGGUAAUACGUAUGGAGCGAGCGUUGUCCGGAAUUAUUGGGCGUAAAGGGUGCGCAGGCGGCUUUACAAGUUGGAUGUGAAAUAUUGUGGCUCAACCGCAAACGUGCAUCCAAAACUGCAAAGCUUGAGUUAAGGAGAGGUAAGUGGAAUUCCUGGUGUAGCGGUGGAAUGCGUAGAUAUCAGGAGGAAUACCGGUGGCGAAGGCGACUUACUGGACUUAAACUGACGCUCAGGCACGAAAGCGUGGGGAGCAAACAGG